Molecule: non-coding RNA, 1658 nt
Organism: Oryctolagus cuniculus (rabbit)
Lineage: Eukaryota; Metazoa; Chordata; Mammalia; Lagomorpha; Leporidae
Source: RefSeq, a predicted model, not a curated record
CUUCCAUCACAUCGACUCCGCCAUCACAUGGACUUUCAGAAACCACCUGAAACCACCACCCCUCUGCCUCUGCCUCUUCUUAGGAGAAGGAGGGUGUGUGCCUGGAGGACUCUACCACCCACUGGUACAUCCAGUGCUUCCUGGAUGGGGUGCCGUUCCCCCUGGUUCUGAGGAUGUGGGACAUCUAUAUCCUUGAGGGCGAGCAUGUGCUCACCACCAUGGCAUACACGGCCCUCAAGAUCCAUCACAGUGAGUCCUCAGGGCCCACAGAGGCCCGGGUGCUGGGGACGGAGGAGCUGGGGGUCCCCCUUCCUGCCCCUCAUGAGUAGGGCUUGAGGGAGGGAUGAGGGGGUUUGGGGUCCUGGGUUCCCUUCAGGAGGGCACUGAGAAUCCUCUGUUGCACCCCCAAUCCCAGGCCCCCACAGACCACAAGGAGAAGUGGCCAAGGUCAUCACACAGGAAAUUGGUCCCUAAGCAGUCCCUCCAGUGCUUGGCUUGACACCCAAGGGUGUCCAAGGGUGUCUGCAGCCCAUGUCUGGAGCUGGGACAGGGCUUGGAGCAGCCAUGGUGGCUGCGCCAUCCCUAGGGUCACUCCUAGCCUGACUCCCACCCCCAUGUCUAGAGCGCCUGCUGAAGAUGUCCAGGGACCACCUCCGGGAGUUCCUGCAGGUGACCCUGAAGCAGGCCUGGUAACUGAGCAAGGAUGUGGUCAUCAGGCAGCUGCGGGCCUCCAUGCGUGAGCUGGGGAAGCUCCAGUGCCUCCUGCCUCCCGAAGCCAAGGCCAUCGAACGGUGCGGCAGGCCCCUGGGGCAGGCACGCGUCCCCCAGAAGCACGUUCCUGCCCCCACUGCCACGAAGGCCAAGAUCGCCAUUCAGGACACAGUGGCAGUGUGGGAGCAGACCAGGGGUCCCGCUGCCCGGGCAGUGAUGAUCCAUCCUCCAGAAAGCUUUGGCCUCCGCAUCGCCGUGAGGGAAGGCAUGGAGGAGGAGGAGAGCUGCGAAGGCAGCCCAGAGCCCCUCUGCCUGGGCUCCCCUGUGGGGACCGCAGAGUCUCCACAUGUGGCCAGCCCCACAGAGACUCCAGAGAGCUCGUGGGGGAGGGGAGGGCUGUGCCAGUGUGCUAAUCUCCCUAAUCUGACGGGCCAGGGCACAGGGAGGACGACUUCUGAUGCUGGCACCAGGAGGGCCUGUGGAUGUGGGCUCCUCCACAAGCCUCGGAGCCCCCAGAACCAGGGCCCAUGCAGGCCACCCCAGCCUGGGGGCCACGGCUGAAGACUCCCCCCUACUGGCAUGGCAGCCCCACGCACUCUGGGGACAGUCAUGGGCUGGAGCUGGCCACCUGGGCUGGGAGACCAGGCCCGUGUGCUCUCCCUGGCCUGAGGCCUCCUUACCUCCUACUCCAUGGGGCACCUGGAUGAUGGGUGCCUCCUAGAAGAGGGGACGAGCCCACCACGUGUCCUGCCCAGCCUGGGCAGCAGCCUUCCAUGUAUCUUCAUGGCAUUCUAUACACUUGAUUGAGCCCCGACCCCCAGGCUCUUCCUGGGGCCAGGACACCCCAUCUCUGGAAGACAGCAGCAGUACCAGGAUCCACUGUACUACCUUCCCCCCACCCCCGCCACCCUCAGGUGCUGCUGACCCUGUAUUACAUGGUUAUACUG